AUGGGUAGAAGCAAGGUUAAUCCUAUUUGGAAGAAGAUUUGGAAUUUAGCUUGUCAAGCGAAGGUAAAAAUCUUUAUAUGGCAUACGCUUCAUGGGACCCUACCGUGUCGUGUUACGCUGGCUAAUAGACACAUGAAAGUUUCGCCCGUAUACACAGCUUGUUCGAAUGGGCCAGAAGAUACCAAGCACAUGUUAUUUCUAUGCUAGAAAGCAAAAGAAGUGUGGGAUAAAUUGGGAAUGUUUGGAACAAUUAGAAAAGCAUGUGUUGUUGAUCCUGCGGGAGAGUCGGUCUUUGAAUCAUUACUCCUUAUGCCAGAACAAGAACUAGCUAUUUUGGGUUUUCAGAAUGCACGAGAGAUGAUUGCUAUAACCGUGUGAUAUUUAUGGUGGAAUAGAUGA
RNAcentral lists this ribosomal RNA (399 nucleotides) under Triticum aestivum (bread wheat). RNAcentral's name for it is "partial small subunit ribosomal RNA". The record is from RNAcentral. Lineage: Eukaryota; Viridiplantae; Streptophyta; Magnoliopsida; Poales; Poaceae.